RNAcentral lists this ribosomal RNA (458 nucleotides) under uncultured bacterium. Its description in RNAcentral is "partial 16S ribosomal RNA". It matches the Rfam family "Bacterial small subunit ribosomal RNA", at positions 338 to 795 of the family's 1533-position model. The record is from RNAcentral.
CCUACGGGAGGCAGCAGUGAGGAAUAUUGGUCAAUGGGCGAGAGCCUGAACCAGCCAAGUAGCGUGAGGGAGUACUGCCCUAUGGGUUGUAAACCUCUUUUGUCGGGGAGCAAAAGCCGGACGUGUCCGGCUGUGAGAGUACCCGAAGAAAAAGCAUCGGCUAACUCCGUGCCAGCAGCCGCGGUAAUACGGAGGAUGCGAGCGUUAUCCGGAUUUAUUGGGGUUAAAGGGUGCGCAGGCGGAUUUUUAAGUCAGCGGUCAAAUCGUGGGGCUCAACCCCAUCCAGCCGUGGAAACUGGGGAUCUAGAGUGUGCGAGAGGUAUGCGGAAUGCGUGGUGUAGCGGUGAAAUGCAUAGAUAUCACGCAGAACCCCGAUUGCGAAGGCAGCAUACCGGUGCACAACUGACGCUCAGGCACGAAAGCGUGGGUAUCGAACAGGAUUAGAUACCCUUGUAGUC